Molecule: microRNA precursor, 64 nt
Filed under: Schmidtea mediterranea
Lineage: Eukaryota; Metazoa; Platyhelminthes; Tricladida; Dugesiidae
Description: Sme-Mir-8-P14_pre stem-loop
Source: RNAcentral
ACAUCGAAUCAGACAGUUUAAGACAGAAUUUAAUAAAAUCUAAUACUGUCAGGUAACGAUGCCA